This 120-nucleotide ribosomal RNA is filed under the name Buttiauxella gaviniae ATCC 51604. RNAcentral also lists the same sequence under 1 other name. Lineage: Bacteria; Pseudomonadati; Pseudomonadota; Gammaproteobacteria; Enterobacterales; Enterobacteriaceae. The record is from RNAcentral.
UGCCUGGCGGCACUAGCGCGGUGGUCCCACCUGACCCCAUGCCGAACUCAGAAGUGAAACGCCGUAGCGCCGAUGGUAGUGUGGGGUCUCCCCAUGCGAGAGUAGGGAACUGCCAGGCUC